This 262-nucleotide ribosomal RNA is filed under the name uncultured bacterium. Its description in RNAcentral is "partial 16S ribosomal RNA". It matches the Rfam family "Bacterial small subunit ribosomal RNA", at positions 514 to 775 of the family's 1533-position model. The record is from RNAcentral.
GCCGCGGUAAGACAGAGGGUGCGAACGUUGCUCGGAAUCACUGGGCGUAAAGCGCGCGUAGGCGGACGGGUAAGUCGGUUGUGAAAUCCCUGGGCUCAACCUGGGAACUGCAUUGGAUACUGGCUUACUAGAGUGCGGUAGAGGGUAGCGGAAUUCCCGGUGUAGCAGUGAAAUGCGUAGAUAUCGGGAGGAACAUCCGUGGCGAAGGCGGCUACCUGGACCAGCACUGACACUGAGGCACGAAAGCGUGGGGAGCAAACAG